UGAUUGGCCCCGCUUGCAGCUAGGGGGAGAUCAGGUCUUCCCAGUAUGAAAAUGUGAUGCAAGGGGUAGGUCACGUUCUGAAUACUGUUUUCUAUUUUCUAUUUUACAAUGUGUAGAAGUUUGCUGCACGUUACUGAUUUAUACAUGUGUGGGUAUAUGGUACCUGUUAGGGAUUGAGGGGCUUUCUGGGAUGUGCUUUGGCAUAUGAUUGCUGUAAAUAAGUGUUAGCUAGCAUACACCGAUGUAAUGGUCACAUAAACCCACUGCUAACACAGUUGUCUUCAUGCUACAGAUUUUGCCAUCGACAGCCAUCAAUAUCGUUAAGCCCUGCACAACUAACGUGCUGUUUCCCAUUUAACAACAGAAAUAAAUGAUGCUCAACUGGGACCAUUGGCUGAUGUGAUUUAUUAGGAGAAAACACAACGCAAGGAGAUGUGGAGUAAAGGAGGAUGGAUACCCCAGCUGCCUGUGUUCAGCGGUGAUCAAAACAACCAAAAAAUAGGAACUGUUUUCCCUUUCCUUGGGCGUAAAAACUGUUCCAACAUUAUAUAAUAGUUGAUAUCAGGUCUGGUCAGAUCACAUCUGAAUAUUCAAAGCAGGAACGAUCCGUUUGGAAAGUGUCUAGAGGGACAGUCAACCUGUCAUAAUGGUGAGGGGAUAGAGUGAUAAUGAUGAUGUUUAAGGUGUUGUCAAGAAUGACAGGCUAAGGCCUAGUUUUCUAUGACAUUGUAGUGGCAUAAAGCAUGAAUAGGAAGGCCCCACUCUCACAUCCACACACUUAAGAAGUUUCACUUACACACACAUGGAGCACAAAGAAGAAUGAACAUUGAGAGAAAAUUGACAUUGACCCUAGAAAAUACGUUUCAAGAAAUUAUUUGGAACUGGAAUUUAUUAAAAUAGUAAUUAAAGGCUAAAUAUGUUGAAGGUUGAAAACAUUGGGAAAUGUUAAAGGGUGUUUAAAGUAAUAUUGUAAAAUGGUUAAGAAGUAGAUGUUUGUUUGCUUUAAGGUACAAUGCAUUUAGGCUAUGUUUAUUAUCAUAAAAAA
This 1045-nucleotide long non-coding RNA is filed under the name Salmo salar (Atlantic salmon). RNAcentral's name for it is "lncRNA (ENSSSAG00000114612.1)". The record is from RNAcentral. Lineage: Eukaryota; Metazoa; Chordata; Actinopteri; Salmoniformes; Salmonidae.